Molecule: ribosomal RNA, 292 nt
Filed under: uncultured bacterium
Lineage: Bacteria
Description: partial 16S ribosomal RNA
Rfam family: Bacterial small subunit ribosomal RNA
Source: RNAcentral
GUGGAUUAGAUACCCGGGUAGUCCAUGCCGUAAACGUUGGGCACUAGGUGUGGGGGACAUUCCACGUUUUCCGCGCCGUAGCUAACGCAUUAAGUGCCCCGCCUGGGGAGUACGGCCGCAAGGCUAAAACUCAAAGGAAUUGACGGGGGCCCGCACAAGCGGCGGAGCAUGCGGAUUAAUUCGAUGCAACGCGAAGAACCUUACCAAGGCUUGACAUACACCGGAUCGGCUCAGAGAUGGGUUUUCCUCCUUGUGGGGCUGGUGUACAGGUGGUGCAUGGCUGUCGUCAACU